UGCACCCAUUGUCUAAUGGUUUAGGACAUCUCUCUUUCAAGAAGGCAGCGGGGGUUCGACUUCCCCUGGUGUAG
Non-coding RNA from Populus tomentosa, 74 nucleotides. NCBI's taxonomy places the organism in Eukaryota, Viridiplantae, Streptophyta, Magnoliopsida, Malpighiales, Salicaceae. The record is from the annotation of a GenBank genome assembly.